Molecule: ribosomal RNA, 254 nt
Filed under: uncultured bacterium
Lineage: Bacteria
Description: partial 16S ribosomal RNA
Rfam family: Bacterial small subunit ribosomal RNA
Source: RNAcentral
UACGGGGGGAGCAAGCGUUGUUCGGAUUUACUGGGCGUAAAGGGCGCGUAGGCGGCCACUGCAAGUCAGUUGUGAAAUCUCCGGGCUUAACCCGGAAAGGUCAACUGACACUGCAGGGCUAGAGUGCAGAAGGGGCAACUGGAAUUCUCGGUGUAGCGGUGAAAUGCGUAGAUAUCGAGAGGAACACCUGCGGCGAAGGCGGGUUGCUGGGCUGACACUGACGCUGAGGCGCGAAAGCCAGGGGAGCGAACGGG